Molecule: ribosomal RNA, 285 nt
Filed under: uncultured bacterium
Lineage: Bacteria
Description: partial 16S ribosomal RNA
Rfam family: Bacterial small subunit ribosomal RNA
Source: RNAcentral
AUGCCUUACACAUGCAAGUCGAACGGCAGCACGGGGCAACCUGGUGGCGAGUGCGAACGGGUGAGUAAUAAAUCGGAACGUGCCCGGUAGUGGGGGAUAACCAGUCGAAAGACUGGCUAAUACCGCAUACGACCUACGGGUGAAAGCGGGGGACCGCAAGGCCUCGCGCUAUCGGAGCGGCCGAUUUCCGAUUAGCUAGUUGGUGAGGUAAAGGCUCACCAAGGCGACGAUCGGUAGCUGGUCUGAGAGGACGGCCAGCCACACUGGGACUGAGACACGGCCCAG